AGCAAAGCCAUAUCACCCUGUAGCCCAAGACUGGUUGCCCACUGAAGCUAAGCAGGGUUGAGGCUGGUCAGUACCUGGAUGGGAGACCUCCUGGGAAAACUAAGUUGCUGUUGGAA
Molecule: ribosomal RNA, 116 nt
Filed under: Sinocyclocheilus grahami
Lineage: Eukaryota; Metazoa; Chordata; Actinopteri; Cypriniformes; Cyprinidae
Source: RNAcentral